AACGAACGCUGGCGGCAGGCCUAACACAUGCAAGUCGAACGCCGUAGCAAUACGGAGUGGCAGACGGGUGAGUAACACGUGGGAACGUACCCUUCGGUUCGGAAUAACUCAGGGAAACUUGAGCUAAUACCGGAUACGUCCGAGAGGAGAAAGAUUUAUCGCCGAGGGAUCGGCCCGCGUCUGAUUAGCUUGUUGGUGAGGUAACGGCUCACCAAGGCGACGAUCAGUAGCUGGUCNGAGAGGAUGAUCAGCCACAUUGGGACUGAGACACGGCCCAAACUCCUACGGGAGGCAGCAGUGGGGAAUAUUGGACAAUGGGCGCAAGCCUGAUCCAGCCAUGCCGCGUGAGUGAUGAAGGCCCUAGGGUUGUAAAGCUCUUUUACCCGGGAAGAUAAUGACUGUACC
RNAcentral lists this ribosomal RNA (405 nucleotides) under uncultured bacterium. Its description in RNAcentral is "bacterial SSU rRNA". It matches the Rfam family "Bacterial small subunit ribosomal RNA", at positions 29 to 479 of the family's 1533-position model. The record is from RNAcentral.